AACGUACGCUGGCGGCACGCCUAACACAUGCAAGUCGAACGAAGUAGCAAUACUUAGUGGCAGACGGGUGAGUAACAUGUAGGUAUCUGCCCUUUGGCCUGGAAUAACACGAGGAAACUUGUGCUAAUACCGGAUAAGUCUUUACGGAGAAAGCUUUAUGCACCAUUGGAUGAGCCUGCACUUGAUUAGUUUGUUGGUGGGGUAAUGGCCUACCAAGACUGUGAUCAAUAGCUGAUUUGAGAGGAUGAUCAGCCACAUUGGGACUGAGACACGGCCCAAACUCCUACGGGAGGCAGCAGUGGGGAAUCUUGCACAAUGGAGGAAACUCUGAUGCAGCGAUGCCGCGUGAGUGAAGAAGGCCCUUGGGUUGUAAAGCUCUUUCGUCGGGGAAGAAAAUGACUGUACCCGAAUAAGAAGGUCCGGCUAACUUCGUGCCAGCAGCCGCGGUAAUACGAAGGGACCUAGCGUAGUUCGGAAUUACUGGGCUUAAAGAGUUCGUAGGUGGUUGAAAAAGUUAGUGGUGAAAUCCCAGAGCUUAACUCUGGAACUGCCAUUAAAACUUUUCAGCUAGAGUAUGAUAGAGGAAAGCAGAAUUUCUAGUGUAGAGGUGAAAUUCGUAGAUAUUAGAAAGAAUACCAAUUGCGAAGGCAGCUUUCUGGAUCAUUACUGACACUGAGGAACGAAAGCAUGGGUAGCGAAGAGGAUUAGAUACCCUCGUAGUCCAUGCCGUAAACGAUGUGUGUUAGACGUUGGAAAUUUAUUUUCAGUGUCGCAGGGAAACCGAUAAACACACCGCCUGGGGAGUACGACCGCAAGGUUAAAACUCAAAUGAAUUGACGGGGACCCGCACAAGUAGUGGAGCAUGUGGUUUAAUUCGAAGAUACGCGCAGAACCUUACCAACACUUGACAUGUUCGUCGCGACUCUAAGAGAUUAGAGUUUUCGGUUCGGCCGGACGAAACACAGGUGCUGCAUGGCUGUCGUCAGCUCGUGUCGUGAGAUGUUGGGUUAAGUCCCGCAACGAGCGCAACCCUCACUUUUAGUUGCCAUCAUUAAGUUGGGCACUCUGAAAGAACUGCCAGUGAUAAGCUGGAGGAAGGUGGGGAUGACGUCAAGUCCUCAUGGCCCUUACGUGUUGGGCUACACACGUGCUACAAUGGUAUCUACAACAGGAAGCAAGACUGCGAAGUUAAGCAAAUCCCUAAAAGAUACCUCAGUUCGGAUUGCACUCUGCAGCUCGAGUGCAUGAAGCUGGAAUUACUAGUAAUCGUGGAUCAGCGUGCCACGGUGAAUGCGUUCCCGGGUCU
This 1306-nucleotide ribosomal RNA is filed under the name uncultured bacterium. Its description in RNAcentral is "bacterial SSU rRNA". It matches the Rfam family "Bacterial small subunit ribosomal RNA", at positions 28 to 1381 of the family's 1533-position model. The record is from RNAcentral.